RNAcentral lists this ribosomal RNA (133 nucleotides) under uncultured bacterium. RNAcentral's name for it is "partial 16S ribosomal RNA". The record is from RNAcentral.
CAGGUACUAUCAAAUAGAACACCUAUUAGGUGAUCCAUUCUUACUCCCUGCUGACAGGAGUUUACAACCCAAAGGCCGUCUUCCUCCACGCGGCGUCGCAUGUUCACACUUUCGUGCAUUGACAAUGAUUCUC